UUAAAUUGAAGAGUUUGAUCAUGGCUCAGAUUGAACGCUGGCGGCAGGCCUAACACAUGCAAGUCGAACGGUAACAGGAAACAGCUUGCUGUUUCGCUGACGAGUGGCGGACGGGUGAGUAAUGUCUGGGAAACUGCCCGAUGGAGGGGGAUAACUACUGGAAACGGUAGCUAAUACCGCAUAACGUCGCAAGACCAAAGAGGGGGACCUUCGGGCCUCUUGCCAUCGGAUGUGCCCAGAUGGGAUUAGCUAGUAGGUGGGGUAACGGCUCACCUAGGCGACGAUCCCUAGCUGGUCUGAGAGGAUGACCAGCCACACUGGAACUGAGACACGGUCCAGACUCCUACGGGAGGCAGCAGUGGGGAAUAUUGCACAAUGGGCGCAAGCCUGAUG
Molecule: ribosomal RNA, 393 nt
Filed under: Escherichia coli
Lineage: Bacteria; Pseudomonadati; Pseudomonadota; Gammaproteobacteria; Enterobacterales; Enterobacteriaceae
Description: bacterial SSU rRNA
Rfam family: Bacterial small subunit ribosomal RNA
Source: RNAcentral